RNAcentral lists this ribosomal RNA (723 nucleotides) under Salmonella enterica. Its description in RNAcentral is "partial 23S ribosomal RNA". It matches the Rfam family "Bacterial large subunit ribosomal RNA", at positions 2211 to 2925 of the family's 2925-position model. The record is from RNAcentral. Lineage: Bacteria; Pseudomonadati; Pseudomonadota; Gammaproteobacteria; Enterobacterales; Enterobacteriaceae. RNAcentral also lists the same sequence under 2 other names.
UGUUUGAUGUUCUAACGUGGACCCGUGAUCCGGGUUGCGGACAGUGUCUGGUGGGUAGUUUGACUGGGGCGGUCUCCUCCUAAAGAGUAACGGAGGAGCACGAAGGUUGGCUAAUCCUGGUCGGACAUCAGGAGGUUAGUGCAAUGGCAUAAGCCAGCUUGACUGCGAGCGUGACGGCGCGAGCAGGUGCGAAAGCAGGUCAUAGUGAUCCGGUGGUUCUGAAUGGAAGGGCCAUCGCUCAACGGAUAAAAGGUACUCCGGGGAUAACAGGCUGAUACCGCCCAAGAGUUCAUAUCGACGGCGGUGUUUGGCACCUCGAUGUCGGCUCAUCACAUCCUGGGGCUGAAGUAGGUCCCAAGGGUAUGGCUGUUCGCCAUUUAAAGUGGUACGCGAGCUGGGUUUAGAACGUCGUGAGACAGUUCGGUCCCUAUCUGCCGUGGGCGCUGGAGAACUGAGGGGGGCUGCUCCUAGUACGAGAGGACCGGAGUGGACGCAUCACUGGUGUUCGGGUUGUCAUGCCAAUGGCACUGCCCGGUAGCUAAAUGCGGAAGAGAUAAGUGCUGAAAGCAUCUAAGCACGAAACUUGCCCCGAGAUGAGUUCUCCCUGAGACUUAAAGUCUCCUGAAGGAACGUUGAAGACGACGACGUUGAUAGGCCGGGUGUGUAAGCGCAGCGAUGCGUUGAGCUAACCGGUACUAAUGAACCGUGAGGCUUAACCUUACA